Molecule: ribosomal RNA, 441 nt
Filed under: uncultured bacterium
Lineage: Bacteria
Description: partial 16S ribosomal RNA
Rfam family: Bacterial small subunit ribosomal RNA
Source: RNAcentral
CCUACGGGUGGCAGCAGUGGGGAAUAUUGCACAAUGGGGGAAACCCUGAUGCAGCAACGCCGCGUGAAGGAAGACGGUUUUCGGAUUGUAAACUUCUGUUCUUAGUGAAGAAUAAUGACGGUAGCUAAGGAGCAAGCCACGGCUAACUACGUGCCAGAAGCGGCGGUAAUAGGAAGGUGGCAAGCGUUGUCCGGAAUUACUGGGUGUAAAGGGAGGGCAGGCGGGAAGCCAAGUCGGCUGUGAAAAUUACGGGCUUAACUUGUAGACUGCAGUUGAAACUGGUUGUCUGGAGUGAAGUAGAGGUUAGCGGAAUUCCGAGUGUAGCGGUGAAAUGCGUAGAUAUUCGGAGGAACACCAGUGGCGAAGGCGGCCAACUGGGCUGUAACUGACGCUGAGGCUCGAAAGUGUGGGGAGCAAACAGGAUUAGAUACCCCUGUAGUC